Non-coding RNA from Canis lupus familiaris (dog), 89 nucleotides. NCBI's taxonomy places the organism in Eukaryota, Metazoa, Chordata, Mammalia, Carnivora, Canidae. The record is from Rfam.
CGGGGGAGGCCGGAUCCUGGGCUGUGUCCCGGCGCCCUGUGCUCCGGCGCUUGCGCUGUUGAAUUCGCGCUCCCGCCCCGCAGCCCCCU